Molecule: ribosomal RNA, 449 nt
Filed under: uncultured bacterium
Lineage: Bacteria
Description: partial 16S ribosomal RNA
Rfam family: Bacterial small subunit ribosomal RNA
Source: RNAcentral
AACGAACGCUGGCGGCAUGCCUAACACAUGCAAGUCGAACGAGAUCUUCGGGUCUAGUGGCGCACGGGUGCGUAACGCGUGGGAAUCUGCCCUUUGGUUCGGAAUAACAGUUGGAAACGACUGCUAAUACCGGAUGAUGACGAAAGUCCAAAGAUUUAUCGCCAGAGGAUGAGCCCGCGUAGGAUUAGCUAGUUGGUGUGGUAAAGGCGCACCAAGGCGACGAUCCUUAGCUGGUCUGAGAGGAUGAUCAGCCACACUGGGACUGAGACACGGCCCAGACUCCUACGGGAGGCAGCAGUGGGGAAUAUUGGACAAUGGGCGAAAGCCUGAUCCAGCAAUGCAGCGUGAGUGAUGAAGGCCUUAGGGUUGUAAAGCUCUGUUACCCGGGAUGAUAAUGACAGUACCGGGAGAAGAAGCACCGGCUAACUACGUGCCAGCAGCCGCGGUAA